RNAcentral lists this non-coding RNA (148 nucleotides) under Pan paniscus (pygmy chimpanzee). The record is from Rfam by way of RNAcentral. Lineage: Eukaryota; Metazoa; Chordata; Mammalia; Primates; Hominidae. RNAcentral also lists the same sequence under 1 other name.
GCUGGGCGUAGUGGUGCGUGCCUGUAAUCCCAGCUACUCGGGAGGCUGAGGCAGGAGAAUUGCUUGAACCUGGGAGGUGGAGGUUGCAGUGAGCCCAGGUCGUGCCACUGCACUCCAGCCUGGGCAACAGAGCAAGACCCUGUCUCGA